UACGUAGGGGGCAAGCGUUGUCCGGAAUCACUGGGCGUAAAGCGCGCGCAGGCGGUCAUCUACGUCUGGGGUGAAAGCCCGGAGCUCAACUCCGGGAUUGCCUUGGAUACGGGAUGACUUGAGGACCGGAGAGGCAAGGGGAAUUCCACGUGUAGCGGUGAAAUGCGUAGAGAUGUGGAGGAACACCUGUGGCGAAGGCGCCUUGCUGGCCGAUUUCUGACGCCGAGGCGCGAAAGCGUGGGGAGCAAACAGG
Molecule: ribosomal RNA, 253 nt
Filed under: uncultured bacterium
Lineage: Bacteria
Description: partial 16S ribosomal RNA
Rfam family: Bacterial small subunit ribosomal RNA
Source: RNAcentral